Ribosomal RNA from Xanthomonas albilineans GPE PC73, 2880 nucleotides. It matches the Rfam family "Bacterial large subunit ribosomal RNA". Lineage: Bacteria; Pseudomonadati; Pseudomonadota; Gammaproteobacteria; Lysobacterales; Lysobacteraceae. The record is from Rfam.
GGUCAAGCGAAUAAGCGCACACGGUGGAUGCCUUGGCGGUCAGAGGCGAUGAAGGACGUGGCAGCCUGCGAAAAGUGUCGGGGAGCUGGCAACAAGCUUUGAUCCGGCAAUGUCCGAAUGGGGAAACCCACUGCUUCGGCAGUAUCCUGCAGUGAAUUCAUAGCUGCUGGAAGCGAACCCGGUGAACUGAAAUAUCUAAGUAACCGGAGGAAAAGAAAUCAACCGAGAUUCCCUAAGUAGUGACGAGCGAACGGGGACUAGCCCUUAAGCUGGUAUGGUUUUAGAAAAACAACCUGGAAAGGUUGGCCAUAGAAGGUGAUAGCCCUGUAUUUAAAAGGGCCAUACCAGUGAAGACGAGUAGGGCGGGGCACGUGAAACCCUGUCUGAACAUGGGGGGACCAUCCUCCAAGGCUAAAUACUCCUGACCGACCGAUAGUGAACCAGUACCGUGAGGGAAAGGCGAAAAGAACCCCGGAGAGGGGAGUGAAAUAGAUCCUGAAACCGUGUGCGUACAAGCAGUAGGAGCUCGUAAGAGUGACUGCGUACCUUUUGUAUAAUGGGUCAGCGACUUACUGUUCGUGGCAAGCUUAACCGUAUAGGGGAGGCGAAGGGAAACCGAGUCUGAUAAGGGCGCAUAGUCGCGGGCAGUAGACCCGAAACCGGGUGAUCUAGUCAUGCCCAGGGUGAAGGUCAGGUAACACUGACUGGAGGCCCGAACCCACUCCCGUUGCAAAGGUAGGGGAUGAGGUGUGAUUAGGAGUGAAAAGCUAAUCGAACCCGGAGAUAGCUGGUUCUCCUCGAAAGCUAUUUAGGUAGCGCCUCAUAUGUAUCCUCUCGGGGGUAGAGCACUGUUAUGGCUAGGGGGUCAUCGCGACUUACCAAACCAUUGCAAACUCCGAAUACCGAGACGGACUGUAUGGGAGACACACGGCGGGUGCUAACGUCCGUCGUGAAAAGGGAAACAACCCAGACCCACAGCUAAGGUCCCAAAUUCACUGCUAAGUGGAAAACGAUGUGGAAAGGCAUAGACAGCCAGGAGGUUGGCUUAGAAGCAGCCACCCUUUAAAGAAAGCGUAAUAGCUCACUGGUCGAGUCGGUCUGCGCGGAAGAUUUAACGGGGCUAAGCAGUGAACCGAAGCUUGGGGUGCAUCGCGUUAAGCGAUGCGCGGUAGAGGAGCGUUCCGUAAGCCUGCGAAGGUGGAUUGAGAAGUCUGCUGGAGGUAUCGGAAGUGCGAAUGCUGACAUGAGUAACGAUAAUGCGGGUGAAAAACCCGCACGCCGAAAGCCCAAGGUUUCCUUGCGCAACGUUAAUCGGCGCAGGGUGAGUCGGCCCCUAAGGCGAGGGCGAAAGCCGUAGUCGAUGGGAAGCAGGUUAAUAUUCCUGCACCUCGCGUAAGUGCGAUGGAGGGACGGAGAAGGUUAGGUGUACCGGGCGUUGGUUGUCCCGGGGAAAGGCGGUAGGUUUGGAUCCUUGGCAAAUCCGGGGUCCUUUAAGACCGAGCACCGAGACGAGUCUUUGAGACGAAGUCACUGAUACCACGCUUCCAGGAAAAGCUCCUAAGCUUCAGCUUACGCAGACCGUACCGUAAACCGACACAGGUGGGUAGGAUGAGAAUUCUCAGGCGCUUGAGAGAACUCGGGUGAAGGAACUAGGCAACAUGGCACCGUAACUUCGGGAGAAGGUGCACCCUUUUUGGUGGCUCGUGCGAGCUAUAGCUGAAGAGGGUCGCAGAAACCAGGCCGCUGCGACUGUUUAUCAAAAACACAGCACUCUGCAAACACGAAAGUGGACGUAUAGGGUGUGACGCCUGCCCGGUGCUGGAAGGUUAAUUGAUGGGGUCAGCCGCAAGGCGAAGCUCUUGAUCGAAGCCCCAGUAAACGGCGGCCGUAACUAUAACGGUCCUAAGGUAGCGAAAUUCCUUGUCGGGUAAGUUCCGACCUGCACGAAUGGCGUAACGACAGCGGCGCUGUCUCCACCCGAGACUCAGUGAAAUUGAAAUCGCUGUGAAGAUGCAGCGUUCCCGUGGCAAGACGGAAAGACCCCGUGAACCUUUACUAUAGCUUUACACUGAACGUUGAGUUCGUCUGUGUAGGAUAGGUGGGAGGCUAUGAAACCAUGGCGCUAGCUGUGGUGGAGCCAUCCUUGAAAUACCACCCUGUCGUGCUUGACGUUCUAACCUAGGUCCGUAAUCCGGAUCGGGGACCGUGUAUGGUGGGUAGUUUGACUGGGGCGGUCUCCUCCUAAAGAGUAACGGAGGAGCACGAAGGUACGCUCAGCGCGGUCGGACAUCGCGCACUGUGUGCAAAGGCAUAAGCGUGCUUGACUGCAAGAUCGACGGAUCAAGCAGGUACGAAAGUAGGUCUUAGUGAUCCGGUGGUUCUGUAUGGAAGGGCCAUCGCUCAACGGAUAAAAGGUACUCCGGGGAUAACAGGCUGAUACCGCCCAAGAGUUCAUAUCGACGGCGGUGUUUGGCACCUCGAUGUCGGCUCAUCACAUCCUGGGGCUGUAGUCGGUCCCAAGGGUAUGGCUGUUCGCCAUUUAAAGUGGUACGCGAGCUGGGUUCAGAACGUCGUGAGACAGUUCGGUCCCUAUCUGCCAUGGGCGUUGGAGAUUUGAGAGGGGCUGCUCCUAGUACGAGAGGACCGGAGUGGACGAACCUCUGGUGUUCCGGUUGUCACGCCAGUGGCAUUGCCGGGUAGCUAUGUUCGGAAGCGAUAACCGCUGAAAGCAUCUAAGCGGGAAGCGCGCCUCAAGAUGAGAUCUCCCGGGACACAAGUCCCCUAAAGGAACCAUGUAGACUACGUGGUUGAUAGGUCAGGUGUGUAAGUGCAGCAAUGCAUUGAGCUAACUGAUACUAAUGAUCCGUGCGGCUUGACCAU